Molecule: long non-coding RNA, 556 nt
Organism: Cydia pomonella (codling moth)
Lineage: Eukaryota; Metazoa; Arthropoda; Insecta; Lepidoptera; Tortricidae
Exons: 2
Source: RefSeq, a predicted model, not a curated record
CCCCCGCGAAUGGAUGUCUUAAGAAAAUUGUUAAUAUAUUGCCCAACUAAAACUGACCUUUAAGAAAAGUACAUCAAAAGCUACCUAUUUAACUGAAUCUUCUAAUGCUUGCCUAUUUCAUUUCAGAUUAUGAAGAACCAGACCACUCCAGACUCCUGUUCAAUGACUUUAUUUCACGACUUUUGCUGCAACAAUGGCUGCUGUCGCCUGACACUUGAAAGCUCCCGUUUAACGGCUCUAUUACAAGAAACCUGCUCCUACAUCAGCAGUGGUCUACAUUGAAUACUACUUAUAGGGAAAAUUUCACUCAAGAUCUUCCUUUAUAUUAGGUAUCAAGACGCGAAAAGGUGAAUUUAUGAUUGAUUCUUUUGUGAUGGCACGUCUUAGCUGAGGAAUAUGAAAAGAAUCCCUAACAACGGCGAGAAGAGAACGAGUAAAGAAGAUUGAUAAACUUAUUGAGUAGACAAUAACUCUAAGGUUUUUUCUAAGUAGACAAUAGCUAUGGAUUUUGUUGUAUAUAGUAAUAGUUUCAGAAAUAAACGUUAGGUUUCAUGAG